This 467-nucleotide ribosomal RNA is filed under the name uncultured bacterium. Its description in RNAcentral is "partial 16S ribosomal RNA". It matches the Rfam family "Bacterial small subunit ribosomal RNA", at positions 28 to 507 of the family's 1533-position model. The record is from RNAcentral.
GACGAACGCUGGCGGCGUGCUUAACACAUGCAAGUCGAACGGAAAGGCCCUGCUUUUGUGGGGUGCUCGAGUGGCGAACGGGUGAGUAACACGUGAGUAACCUGCCCUUGACUUUGGGAUAACUUCAGGAAACUGGGGCUAAUACCGGAUAGGAGCUCCUGCUGCAUGGUGGGGGUUGGAAAGUUUCGGCGGUUGGGGAUGGACUCGCGGCUUAUCAGCUUGUUGGUGGGGUAGUGGCUUACCAAGGCUUUGACGGGUAGCCGGCCUGAGAGGGUGACCGGCACAAUUGGAACGAGGUUACGGCCAGGACCCCAACGGGGGGAAGAGGGGGGAAUUUUUGAAAAUUGGCCGGAGCCUGAUGCAGCAACGCCGCGUGCGGGAUGACGGCCUUCGGGUUGUAAACCGCUUUCGCCUGUGACGAAGCGUGAGUGACGGUAAUGGGUAAAGAAGCACCGGCUAACUACGUG